CCAAGUGUUAAUGUCACCACCAUGAAUGUAGAAGUUAUAUAGUCUACCAAGUGUUAAUGUCACCACCAUGAAUGUAGAAGUUAUAUAGUCUACCAAGUGUUAAUGUCACCACCAUGAAUGUAGAAGUUAUAUAGUCUACCAAGUGUUAAUGUCACCACCAUGAAUGUAGAAGUUAUAUAGUCUACCAAGUGUUAAUUUCUAUCCUACUGUGUUACUUGUGAGUUGAUGUGAUGUCAUUGAUGAUUUCUAACAGAUUUCCACACAGUGGAGUCCCUGCAGAUUGUGAAAAAACAGGAUGUGUCACACCCAAACAGCUCUUUGCUGUACGCCCAGACUUAACACUAAGUCACACAAGACAAGUUUGUAUCAGUGGAAAAAAAAACUAGCAUUUAACAACAGACAAUUCUCUAAGUAAAAAAAACAGUAUAGCAUGUCUAAUUUGUAAUUUACUACCACACCUGUUGAGUUGACUUGGGUAACAGACCUCUAGCUUCUACAACACAGAAAGUUAGAGGCGACUUUCCCAAGUCAGUCACUGACAAUUGGGUAAGAUAUUAUAGGACACUAUGUGUAACUUCUGCUCUGCCAGCAGUUUCCUGUGGAGUUUUUCUGAUGUCAGUGUUUCCUUUAGGAAGGCGGGUUUAACUGAUCUGAUUUGCUUAACAGUUUGCCACAUAAUUGAAGUAAGGAAGUAAUGAGAUAGAAGUCAUAUAGCCUAGCAGUAUUUCUCACUCUUCAGUCCUCUCUUCAUGACAGUAGACUUGUUUCGCUCAGUGGAGCCCCAGUUAGAGAAAGAUAUGAUACCUGCAGUGAUAUUGGUGAUCCUGUUCUGGAGCACAGGUAUGUUUCGAAAUUGUAAGAUAUAUUACAAUUUGUGCGGCUAGUAAAAUAACAUACAACUGGAAGCAGACAGUAAAAAUGUGUCUCAAAGCAGAACAAUGAUGCGAUCACCUGUAAAUGUACUUUACUGUAGUCUUACUGUCCAUCUGGGGACAGGCACUAAUAUAAGUUAAGGUGUGAUGGUCAGUCUUAUUAGAACCAAGGUAAGACCCAAAUGCAGACAACAGGUUUCAGGCAAAGACAGGUCAAGGCAGGCAGGGGUCAAUAGUCCAGAGUCAGGGGGCAAAGGUACAGGACGGCAGGCAUCCUCAGGGUAGGCAGAGAUCUGUAAUCCAGAAGAGGGCAGAGGUACAGAUCAGCAAGCAGGCUCAGGGUCAGGCAGGCAGAGUGGUCAGGCAGGUGGACUCAGAGUCAGGACAGGCAGAGUGGUCAGGCAGGUGGGCUCAGAGUCAGGACAGGCAGAGUGGUCAGGCAGGUGGGCUCAGAGUCAGGACAGGCAGAGUGGUCAGGCAGGUGGGCUCAGAUUCAGGACAGGCAGAGUGGUCAGGCAGGUGGGCUCAGAUUCAGGACAGGCAGAGCGGUCAGGCAGGCGGGCUCAGAGUCAGGGCAGGCAGAGUGGUCAGGCAGGCGGGCUCAGAGUCAGGGCAGGCAGAGCGGUCAGGCAGGCGGGCUCAGAGUCAGGGCAGGCAGAGUGGUCAGGCAGGGGGCUCAGAGUCAGGGCAGGCAGAGUGGUCAGGCAGGCGGGCUCAG
Long non-coding RNA from Oncorhynchus keta (chum salmon), 1590 nucleotides. RefSeq lists it as uncharacterized. The record is from RefSeq and is a predicted model, not a curated record. NCBI's taxonomy places the organism in Eukaryota, Metazoa, Chordata, Actinopteri, Salmoniformes, Salmonidae. The transcript is spliced from 3 exons.